UGGGGAAUUUUGGACAAUGGGCGAAAGCCUGAUCCAGCCAUGCCGCGUGAGUGAAGAAGGCCUUCGGGUUGUAAAGCUCUUUUAGUCGGAAAGAAAGAAUUAUGACGAAUAAUCAUGAUUUAUGACGGUACCGACAGAAAAAGCACCGGCUAACUACGUGCCAGCAGCCGCGGUAAUACGUAGGGUGCGAGCGUUAAUCGGAAUUACUGGGCGUAAAGGGUGCGCAGGCGGUUUUGUAAGUCAGAUGUGAAAGCCCCGGGCUUAACCUGGGAAUUGCGUUUGAAACUGCAAGGCUAGAGUGCAGCAGAGGGGAGUGGAAUUCCAUGUGUAGCAGUGAAAUGCGUAGAGAUGUGGAAGAACACCGAUGGCGAAGGCAGCUCCCUGGGUUGACACUGACGCUCA
RNAcentral lists this ribosomal RNA (402 nucleotides) under uncultured bacterium. RNAcentral's name for it is "bacterial SSU rRNA". It matches the Rfam family "Bacterial small subunit ribosomal RNA", at positions 355 to 749 of the family's 1533-position model. The record is from RNAcentral.